CGGGUGAGUAAUACAUCGGAACGUGCCCAGUAGUGGGGGAUAACCCGGCGAAAGCCGGACUAAUACCGCAUACGACCUAUGGGUGAAAGCAGGGGAUCGCAAGACCUUGCGCUAUUGGAGCGGCCGAUGUCAGAUUAGCUAGUUGGCGGGGUAAAAGCCCACCAAGGCGACGAUCUGUAGCUGGUCUGAGAGGACGACCAGCCACACUGGGACUGAGACACGGCCCAG
This 228-nucleotide ribosomal RNA is filed under the name uncultured bacterium. RNAcentral describes it as "partial 16S ribosomal RNA". It matches the Rfam family "Bacterial small subunit ribosomal RNA", at positions 103 to 334 of the family's 1533-position model. The record is from RNAcentral.